AUUUUCCAAACAGUCGAACGCCAGCUCCAGCCURGUUUACACCCAGUUACUGCUGCUGCUUGUGAACGUGCCACAACUUGUGUCCUCUGCCAGCUGACCACAGCUUCUCUCCCACCAGCAACCAGCACUUGCAUCACCAAAUCCUCGCUCACCCUGGCAUCUCCUUUUCGCUGAGUUACGAUCUUCCUCUCUGUUGUCAUCUCCCUGCUCUGCCAUGGAGAAAAGGACCCGGACGUGGCUGGGCUUCCACGCAAGAAAGCAAAUAACCAUCAGAAGUCCUUCUACUUCUGUGUCUGUGAAGAAGGAGAUGCUGUGUUCCUAAGGCGGUUCAUCCAAGUCCCAGAGGCAGCACAGCAAGGCUG
RNAcentral lists this long non-coding RNA (362 nucleotides) under Dromaius novaehollandiae (emu). RNAcentral's name for it is "lncRNA (ENSDNVG00000015541.1)". Lineage: Eukaryota; Metazoa; Chordata; Aves; Casuariiformes; Dromaiidae. The record is from RNAcentral.